This is a long non-coding RNA of Lolium perenne, 456 nucleotides long. RefSeq lists it as uncharacterized. NCBI's taxonomy places the organism in Eukaryota, Viridiplantae, Streptophyta, Magnoliopsida, Poales, Poaceae. The record is from RefSeq and is a predicted model, not a curated record.
GCGCAUUGCCUUAUUUUUGGUGAGGCAUACACGAAGAAAUUAAGUAGCAUCAUUUUUAAGUUCUCAGACCAUAGCGACUGAUGGGUACAAAAGCUUUUACUGCAAAUAAUAAACUCAACACCCAGAUUAAACAUAGGGUACACAAUUUUAAACCAUACUGGUUAAGCCCUAGUUAAGUUGUAGCAAACCAGAUCAGUUUACCCUAAUUAAUCUGCAUUACAUAACAUUCUAACAGAUGUUUGCACAACAAGACUGCAAGGUACCCUGAGUUUAACUUUGCAGCCACUGAUGAGGUGACAAUCUAGAUUGCAGAAAAGUUUAAUUCGAGUAAAUGGCCACCUGAUUUGAAGGAGGCGGUCGAAGAGCUGCAGGGAAUACGUAGACGCCCUCCUAUAGAGGUUAGUUCUUGGAUGAUGUUUUUGCCGAAUAGCAACGUCCCCGGACAAGAGCCUGAAG